This is a long non-coding RNA of Phyllostomus discolor (pale spear-nosed bat), 164 nucleotides long. RefSeq lists it as uncharacterized. Lineage: Eukaryota; Metazoa; Chordata; Mammalia; Chiroptera; Phyllostomidae. The record is from RefSeq and is a predicted model, not a curated record. The transcript is spliced from 3 exons.
AGUCACAGGGCACUAAAUCUGGGCUGUAGGGAGCACUGAGUCACCUGGGUGAUUUGAUGUUUUGCCAAAAAACUCUGAAUGAGUUGUGAUGCAUGAGCGGGCACAUCAUCAUGAGGAAGCUGCCAAUUACCUGUGGCCCAUAACUAAACCAUUUUCAUUAUAUU